This 252-nucleotide ribosomal RNA is filed under the name uncultured bacterium. RNAcentral describes it as "partial 16S ribosomal RNA". It matches the Rfam family "Bacterial small subunit ribosomal RNA", at positions 524 to 776 of the family's 1533-position model. The record is from RNAcentral.
UACGUAGGUGGCAAGCGUUAUCCGGAAUUAUUGGGCGUAAAGAGCGCGCAGGUGGUUAAUUAAGUCUGAUGUGAAAGGCUACGGCUCAACCGUAGUAAGCCUUUGAAACUGGGAAACUUGAGUGCAGGAGAGGAGAGUGGAAUUCCUAGUGUAGCGGUGAAAUGCGUAGAUAUUAGGAGGAACACCAGUUGCGAAGGCGGCUCUCUGGACUGUAACUGACACUGAGGCACGAAAGCGUGGGGAGCAAACAGG